UUGACAUCCAGCGAACUUUCCAGAGAUGGAUUGGUGCCUUCGGGAGCGCUGAGACAGGUGCUGCAUGGCUGUCGUCAGCUCGNGUUGUGAAAUGUUGGGUUAAGUCCGNAACCCGAGCGCAACCCUUAUCCUUUGUUGCCAGCGAUUCGGUCGGGAACUCAAAGGAGACUGCCGGUGAUAAACCGGAGGAAGGUGGGGAUGACGUCAAGUCAUCAUGGCCCUUACGAGUAGGGCUACACACGUGCUACAAUGGCGCAUACAAAGAGAAGCGACCUCGCGAGAGCAAGCGGACCUCAUAAAGUGCGUCGUAGUCCGGAUCGGAGUCUGCAACUCGACUCCGUGAAGUCGGAAUCGCUAGUAAUCGUGGAUCAGAAUGCCACGGUGAAUACGUUCCCGGGCCUUGUACACACCGCCCGUCACACCAUGGGAGUGGGUUGCAAAAGAAGUAGGUAGCUUAACCCUCGGGAGGGCGCUUACCACUUUGUGAUUCAUGACUGGGGUGAAGUCGUAACAAGGUAGGCGUACGUGU
Molecule: ribosomal RNA, 529 nt
Filed under: uncultured bacterium
Lineage: Bacteria
Description: bacterial SSU rRNA
Rfam family: Bacterial small subunit ribosomal RNA
Source: RNAcentral